RNAcentral lists this long non-coding RNA (1558 nucleotides) under Monodelphis domestica (gray short-tailed opossum). RNAcentral describes it as "lncRNA (ENSMODG00000048921.1)". Lineage: Eukaryota; Metazoa; Chordata; Mammalia; Didelphimorphia; Didelphidae. The record is from RNAcentral.
CUUUGAUCUCUAUUGAUUACUUCUUACAGGUAUGGCAUAAAGUAAGUUCCUUUCUUUUUUGGUUAUUUUAGAAGCCCUUAUUUUUUUUCUCUCAACAAGCUACUGUUAAGUCAUAACCCCCUUUCUCCUUCUCUGAUUCCCUGCCCUAAACCCUCUCAGUGAAAGAACUUUGACAUUCAUCACAUUCUAUAACUGCCCUGUCUUUAUACUUCUAAUCAGCACAGAGCUGUCACUUCAAAUUCCCUGAGAAACUCUCAAGUUUUAGGGAUUUGAGGACUCACUGCUCUGUAUCUGAUAAAAAAAAAUCUGAUGUCCACUUUGACAACCGCCUUCUGUAGCUAUAUCUACUACACUGCCAACCUACAAAGUUACAACAACUUGCCUGAAGCCACACAACUAGUUUCUUGAAUACUGAAGAAUUUCACCUCUAUGUUGAGUCUUCUCUAAAGAAGAUAAAAAAGACUUAGAAAAUGAUGAACCAUCUUAAGAAGAAUUUGAUUGUUGUCAUCUGAACUUUUUUACUGUUGUUGUUUUUGAAGAGGUGCCUUGGCAGGAGUGGUGGCUCAGAACCUGUGAUUUUAUCUGGAUAGGGGACCAGUACUUUUGGUGUGAAAAUUCCCUCUACCAUUCUGUACUGUUGCUUCCCUGCUGGCUGCCUGGUCAGAGCCCCGAACUUCUGUGCUGGUACCAAGGCACUCUGUCACUGCUGCAGCCUUCACCCUGGAAUCCUAGUCAGCUGGAUUCUUACCACAGGUCUCAGUGCAGUAGAUGUGGAGGGACAUUGGAGACUGAGCUUUUCUGUCCUUUGCUGGCUUAUUAUCUAAAUUAUUGCUAGACUGUAUUAAGCUGAUCUGUAGUGGAUCCACUCUGAGGCCAAAACCUCCAGAGGCAGAGACUCAAGAUAUAGGAGUGGUGGCUGAACCAAGAUGCCCUCCUCCCUGUCCAUCUUCUCCAGCUGCCUCCCUUCCAUCUGUGUGUGGUCAGAGCCUUGAGCCUUGAAUAGCUGUGGUAGCAAGGCACUCCCUCCAGACUGGAGCCCUCACCCCAAGGUCAUAGCAUCUGGUAGAAUCUCAGCACAGUAGGUGGGGGAAAGGGUUUUGGGAUGCUCCUUUUUUAUUUUCCUUAAACCUGAGAAUUCAGCCUUUUCUGUGUACCUUGCAAGUUGAAUCAAGCAGGAACAUCCCUGAACUCUGUCCUGUUUUUGUAUUUUUUUUUUGUUUCCCACUCGAAACACUUUUUUUUUUUGAUUGGUGUGAAAGGGUUUUCCCAGAGAACAUGACAUCUUGACUCCCAAAAUGACUAUGAAGUAUUGUAAAUGAAAAAAAUACAUAAUUUAUAUUUGAUCUUGGAAAUAAUAAGGAGCCACUGGAGUUUAUUUAAAGGAGGGGAAGUGUGGACAUGAUUAGAAUUGUGUUUUUGAGCAAUCAAUUUGAAAUCCUAUGAGUUGAAGCUUUGAUAGUGUUAGGGGUAAAAUUAGGGUUGUUGGCUUAAUAUGUUAUUUUACUGGUCACUAGGGAUUUAAAUUCAAUCCCAAUAAAAUACUGAAGUCAGUUUGGCA